UGUGUGUUGUGGUGUAGGUCUGUGUGUGUUGUGGGGUAGGUGGUCUGUGUGUUGUGGGGUAGGUGGUCUGUGUGUGGUUUUGUGGUGUAGGUGGUCUGUGUGUGGUGUAGGUGGUCUGUCUGUGUGUUGUGGUGUAGGGGUCUGUGUGUGUUGUGGUGUAGGGGUCUGUGUGUGUUGUGGUGUCGGUCUGUGUGUGUUGUGGUGUAGGUCUGUGUGUGUUGUGGGGUAGGUGGUCUGUGUGUUGUGGGGUAGGUGGUCUGUGUGUGGUGUUGUGGUGUAGGUGGUCUGUGUGUGUUGUGGUGUAGGUCUGUGUUGUGGUGUAGGUGGUCUGUCUGUGUUUUGUGGUGUAGGGGUCUGUGUGUGUUGUGGUGUAGGGGUCUGUGUGUGUUGU
This is a long non-coding RNA of Oncorhynchus masou masou (cherry salmon), 391 nucleotides long. RefSeq lists it as uncharacterized. The transcript is spliced from 3 exons. The record is from RefSeq and is a predicted model, not a curated record. Lineage: Eukaryota; Metazoa; Chordata; Actinopteri; Salmoniformes; Salmonidae.